UACGUAGGGUGCGAGCGUUACUCGGAAUUACUGGGCGUAAAGUGUGCGCAGGUGGCUUCGCAAGUCGAGUGUGAAAUCCCCGGGCUUAACCUGGGAAUUGCGCUCGAAACUACGGAGCUGGAGUAUGGCAGAGGGAGGUGGAAUUCCACGUGUAGCGGUGAAAUGCGUAGAGAUGUGGAGGAACACCAAUGGCGAAGGCAGCCUCCUGGGCCAAUACUGACACUCAUGCACGAAAGCGUGGGGAGCAAACGGG
Molecule: ribosomal RNA, 253 nt
Filed under: uncultured bacterium
Lineage: Bacteria
Description: partial 16S ribosomal RNA
Rfam family: Bacterial small subunit ribosomal RNA
Source: RNAcentral